ACGGAGCGUAGGUUCUAGCGAGCCAACCUCCCACCCGUGUUUACUGUACCUUAGUUGCUUCGGCGGGCCCGCCAUUCAUGGCCGCCGGGGGCUCUCAGCCCCGGGCCCGCGCCCGCCGGAGACACCACGAACUCUGUCUGAUCUAGUGAAGUCUGAGUUGAUUGUAUCGCAAUCAGUUAAAACUUUCAACAAUGGAUCUCUUGGUUCCGGCAUCGAUGAAGAACGCAGCGAAAUGCGAUAACUAGUGUGAAUUGCAGAAUUCCGUGAAUCAUCGAGUCUUUGAACGCACAUUGCGCCCCCUGGUAUUCCGGGGGGCAUGCCUGUCCGAGCGUCAUUGCUGCCCAUCAAGCACGGCUUGUGUGUUGGGUCGUCGUCCCCUCUCCGGGGGGGACGGGCCCCAAAGGCAGCGGCGGCACCGCGUCCGAUCCUCGAGCGUAUGGGGCUUUGUCACCCGCUCUGUAGGCCCGGCCGGCGCUUGCCGAACGCAAAUCAAUCUUUUUCCAGGUUGACCUCGGAUCAGGUAGGGAUACCCGCUGAACUUAAGCAUAUCAAAACCCGGAGAAAU
This 565-nucleotide ribosomal RNA is filed under the name Aspergillus oryzae. RNAcentral describes it as "eukaryotic LSU rRNA". The stretch from base 181 to 334 matches the Rfam family "5.8S ribosomal RNA". The record is from RNAcentral. Lineage: Eukaryota; Fungi; Ascomycota; Eurotiomycetes; Eurotiales; Aspergillaceae.